GAGGAUAAUCCUGUAGAAGAUUCACAGGUAAUUGUAGAAGAAGUAAGCAUUUUUCCUGUGGAAGAACAGCAGGAAGUACCACCAGGCUAUUUGAUGGAGAAUAUGGAAUCAGAAUUGCCUUGGGAUGAAAGUUGAAUAGUGUAUAAAUUGUGACAUUACUCCUCUUCCUCUCCAUUCCCCAUCUCUCCUGAGAGCAUCUUUAGUGCUUUGUGACAGUCCAGGCUGCCCAGUGCUUGUCAGUGUCCCAGGGUGUUUCCUUUUAGUUCACUGCAUUACAUACUUUUCCCUGUUUUUUCCUACUUUCCUCUACCUGAGCCCUCUUGUCACCAGUUAAUAU
This 337-nucleotide long non-coding RNA is filed under the name Homo sapiens (human). RNAcentral describes it as "non-protein coding lnc-CA8-13:5". The record is from RNAcentral. Lineage: Eukaryota; Metazoa; Chordata; Mammalia; Primates; Hominidae.